GACGAACGCUGGCGGCGUGCUUAACACAUGCAAGUCGAACGGUAAGGCCCUUCGGGGUACACGAGUGGCGAACGGGUGAGUAACACGUGGGUGAUCUGCCCUGCACUUCGGGAUAAGCCUGGGAAACUGGGUCUAAUACCGGAUAGGACCACUGCCUGCAUGGGUGGUGGUGGAAAGCUUUUGCGGUGUGGGAUGGGCCCGCGGCCUAUCAGCUUGUUGGUGGGGUGAUGGCCUACCAAGGCGACGACGGGUAGCCGGCCUGAGAGGGUGACCGGGCACGCUGGGACUGAGAUACGGCCCAGACUCAUACGGGAGGCAGCAGUGGGGAAUAUUGCACAAUGGGCGCAAGCCUGAUGCAGCGACGCCGCGUGAGGGAUGACGGCCUUCGGGUUGUAAACCUCUUUCAGCACCGACGAAGCGCAAGUGACGGUAGGUGCAGAAGAAGGACCGGCCAACUACGUGCCAGCCGCCGCCGUAA
RNAcentral lists this ribosomal RNA (478 nucleotides) under uncultured bacterium. RNAcentral's name for it is "partial 16S ribosomal RNA". It matches the Rfam family "Bacterial small subunit ribosomal RNA", at positions 28 to 523 of the family's 1533-position model. The record is from RNAcentral.